Molecule: ribosomal RNA, 706 nt
Filed under: uncultured fungus
Lineage: Eukaryota; Fungi
Description: eukaryotic LSU rRNA
Rfam family: 5.8S ribosomal RNA (bases 195-348)
Source: RNAcentral
GUAKGUGCUCGCCCCGUCAUCUUUAUAUUUCCACCUGUGCACUUUUUGUAGAUUUAGAUGUGACUUUCUGAGGCAACUCAGUUGGGAGGAAUGUCAAUUCGUUGGCUUUCCUUGUAUGUCCAAAUCUAUGUUUUUAUAUACUCCAGAAUGUAAUAGAAUGUAUCAAUGGGCCUUGUGCCUAUAAAACUAUAUACAACUUUCAGCAACGGAUCUCUUGGCUCUCGCAUCGAUGAAGAACGCAGCGAAAUGCGAUAAGUAAUGUGAAUUGCAGAAUUCAGUGAAUCAUCGAAUCUUUGAACGCACCUUGCGCCCCUUGGUAUUCCGAGGGGCAUGCCUGUUUGAGUGUCAUUAAAUUCUCAACCUUACUAGCUUUAAUGAGCAAUGUAAUGGCUUGGGAUGUGGGGGUCUUUUUUUUUGCUGGCUUCGAAAGAAAUCAGCUCCCCUAAAAUGUAUUAGCUGGUGCCCCCGUGUGGACUAUCUACUGGUGUGAUAAUUAUCUAUGCCGUUAGAUGUCUGCUUUAAAUAGGGAUGUGCUGCUUCUAAUUGUCCACUUAGGACACUUAUUGACUAUUUGACCUCAAAUCAGGUAGGACUACCCGCUGAACUUAAGCAUAUCAAUAAGCGGAGGAAAAGAAACUAACAAGGAUUCCCCUAGUAACUGCGAGUUGAAGCGGGAAAAGCUCAAAUUUAAAAGCUGACGGUCUUU